GGUCUAGGCUGUGAGUGUCCCAGGUGGGUUUCCUCAGUCAGCUGUGAUUUCCUUGGCUGUCCAGCCUCCUCCAUCCCCCUUGCCUAACAGUCCCUGGUUCCUUUGGGUGAAGGAGCUCUCCCUUCUGGGUGUAGGAGUGAGGGGCUGUUAAUCACAAUGCUGGCCAUUGAGCAGGCCAGGCCAGCCAGAUGCUGUUUGGGGGGAGUUAAUCUCCUUGCUCCUGCUGAUGCACGCUGGCCAGUCCUACAGCUCCUUCGGAGGAUAAAUGCUCUCUUCAUUUGCUGCCCUCCCCAUGAUUGUUCACUUUCAUUGUCCUGAGCGGUCUCUAUACAGUCUUCAUUCUAGAAAAAUCGGGAGUUGGGUGGGGGUGGUAGCUCUCUCUUCCAACAAGGGGCAGAAAGACUUUUCUGCAAACCCAGUAGGUUCAGGGGGCAUCUGGAGUUCAAAGUUCUCAUGUACAUCUACCUAGAUAGCCCCAUGCUGAGUUUGAAGGCCUUGACUUUGGCAUAAGAGACCAUCCUGAGCUUAGAAUUCAGUGUUCUCUGAAGUUCUGCGAUUCAUAAAAUCAGGUCUGUACCAGACCUUCCUUGCUGUCUGCCUGGCUCACUCCUGUCACGUCCCAGCACUUUGGGAGGCCAAGGCGGGCGGCUCAUGAGGUCAGGAGUUCGAGACCAGCCUGGCCAACAUAGUGAAACCCCGUCUCUACUAAAAAUGCAAAAAAUUAGCUGGGCAUGGUGGCAGGCACUGUAAUCCCAGCUACUUGGGAGGCUGAGACAGGAGAAUCACUUGAAUCCGGGAGGCAGAGGUUGCAGUGAGCUGAGAUCGCGCCAUUGCAUUCCAAUCCCGGGUGACUGUGUGAGACUCCAUCUCAAAAAAAAAACGGAGGAAAAAGGUCUUGUGAGUAAUAAAUGUUGUCUGGAGCAGACCUCAGGAGAAGAGGUGAGAGUCUGUCUGUGCUGGUAUCACCUCCAAUCUCCUUCCCUGUGAUCUCAGUUCCUCUUCCCUGGUUGAUGAGAUUCUUGGGGAUGGGAUUCAUGAUGAUCAAAUUUCUUUUGAGGAUUUGUUUUUGGGCAGAUGAGGGAGGCUCAGAGAAAAGCCUCUCCCUGCAUGUGCUAUUUCCCAAGUGCUCUCAGUUUGAAGUCAGUGGCAACCAGUAGCAUAUUUCCUGAAGGCCUUCAGCAUCCACUAAACCAGUCAACUGUUCCCAUUUGUUUCCUGAAUAGCAAACACUUCCUUGAAAUCCUUCUCAAAUUCAGCCUCCAGUCUAAGUCCCAUUUGGCCAAAAUCCUUAUACUGAGGUCCCCAACACUGGCCUCAGCAUAUCAGAGGAGGUGUCCCUGAGAGCACAGAGAGCAUUUACCUCCUGCUGCCAGCGUCUCCCACUGCUCUCUGGAUCACACUGCUGGGUCCCAGUACCCGAUGAACCUGCUCCUUCCCCAUCUAGACACAAGCAGACAUUCUGCUGGAGAGUGCGCAUGGCAGGUGGAAGGUCCCUUAAAGGAUGAAAGAGAGGUGCCUGCAUGUCACUUACUUCUCACUUUCCACAGGUGGGAUGUGGCAGUCCUCAUGGAAGACUCUUGAACAAGUGUCGCAACAGAACAGCUCCCCUCCGUCCCGGCACACCUCACACUCAUCCAAGUUUCUCAUCUAGAAGGUAAAACAGUGUCCACGUCACUGGGAAUCACAAGAUUCAGGAAGGCCACCCCUCUGGGCAUCUAGAACACACUGCUUAUGUGUGAGCCUGUAUAGACAGGCAUAUGCUUCUCCCUGGGAUAUGAAGGAAAAAUAUGGCAUGGAGAUUUCAGAACAAAUCCUGGUCUGCAGUGAAGUUCAGGAGGAAGGGGUAUAUGUCAGAAUAAAAACGUUUUCCUUAUAAAACCAGAGAUUAUGACACAGAAAGCCUAGCAACAAAGCAAGAGGAUGAUCUUAUAGGAAUCUGAAUAAUUGUAUUAUGCUGCAGAUAAAACCAGGUUUUGAAGUAAAGUGUUAAAUCCAUUUGUCUAUACUACAAAUCAACUCAUGAAAGGGAGACCCAGAGAAUUACAUAUGAUGGAAUAACCUUCUAAGAUAUCAUCACAUCCCAUAUUCUUGGCCAUAAGUUCCCCAUGAGUUGAAGACAGGGCCUAGUUAGGGGUUCCUAGGCUGUAGGUUUUGUGCCUAGAGGGCUGUGCACCUACCUUUGAGGGGGAAGGACCAUGAGUACACAUGACCAGGUGGGCCACAGGGAGCACAGAGCUCUUCGGCUCUGGGAUCCUGGCAGAAGAUCUCCCAUGACUUAGCUAAUUUGGAUUGUAAGGUGCAAAGGUGUCAUCUCUAAUGACCAAGGACCAUGGUAACAGUACCAUACAGUGUUGAAGAUGGAGACCCUCUCCUCAUUUCCUGGGCCCAUAAAAGAGCUGGUGCUUUGUUCUAUAAAAGGAAUGGUAAAUCAAUGAAUUCUCCAUUUCUCACAAGUCUCAAUAUGUGAGACCUUUAGCAAGAUUUAAUUUCAUUUGGGGAAAUUAAAAUAUGAUAGUAUUUGCAUCCAUGUGUUGUGGAACAAAUCCCAGUCAUUAAAAACCAACAGAAUUUAUAGAGCAAAUAUAGAGACCAAUACAUUAUAUGCUGUA
This 2609-nucleotide long non-coding RNA is filed under the name Homo sapiens (human). RNAcentral's name for it is "non-protein coding lnc-SP110-5:1". The record is from RNAcentral. Lineage: Eukaryota; Metazoa; Chordata; Mammalia; Primates; Hominidae.